This 325-nucleotide ribosomal RNA is filed under the name uncultured eukaryote. Its description in RNAcentral is "partial 18S ribosomal RNA". It matches the Rfam family "Eukaryotic small subunit ribosomal RNA", at positions 1470 to 1796 of the family's 1831-position model. The record is from RNAcentral.
CCCUUAGAUGUCCUGGGCCGCACGCGCGCUGCACUGAUGCAUUCAACGAGUAUUUCCUUGGCCGAGAGGCCUGGGCAAUCUUUUAAACCUGCAUCGUGAUAGGGAUAGAUUAUUGCAAUUAUUAAUCUUGAACGAGGAAUUCCUAGUAAACGCAAAUCAUCAAUUUGCAUUGAUUACGUCCCUGCCCUUUGUACACACCGCCCGUCGCACCUACCGAUUGAAUGGUCCGGUGAAAUCUCGGGAUUGUGGCCAGUUCACUUUAUUGGGAGUUGGCUGCGAGAACUUGCUUAAACCUUAUCAUUUAGAGGAAGGUGAAGUCGUAACA